RNAcentral lists this small RNA (475 nucleotides) under Pan troglodytes (chimpanzee). Its description in RNAcentral is "processed transcript". Lineage: Eukaryota; Metazoa; Chordata; Mammalia; Primates; Hominidae. The record is from RNAcentral.
GAAGAUCUACAGUCCUCGAAGAGCCUGUACAGGAAGAUGCAACACAAGAAACACACAUUUCAUCUCCUGUUGAGUCUCCUUCCCAAAAGACCAAAAGUGAAACCGUCACUGGAGAAUUAUCAAAACUCUUGGAUGAAAUAAAACUCUGUCAAGAAAAGGAUUAUUCGUUUGAAGACUUGUGCCACACAAUAUCAGACCACUACUUAGAUAAUUUGAGCAAGAUUUCAGAGGAAGAACUUGGGAAAAAUGGAAGCCAGAGUGUAGUAAGUAAGGCGGGGGGGAAUGAAGAUAAUGUGUCUGUCUUUGCCAGUUCAGUGUGUACACUUAAGAGGUAUGGGAUGUGGUGCAUUAUCAGAUUCCGCCACUCUAAGAUGUCAGUUUCCUUAUUGCUCUUUUCCUGACGUUCUUUGGGGUUUUACUCGCAGUGCAUGUGUAGGGGAAGGAGUGCUUUGACAGAUCACUUCAUGGUCUCUCU